RNAcentral lists this ribosomal RNA (688 nucleotides) under uncultured bacterium. RNAcentral's name for it is "bacterial SSU rRNA". It matches the Rfam family "Bacterial small subunit ribosomal RNA", at positions 75 to 757 of the family's 1533-position model. The record is from RNAcentral.
GGGAGCAAUCCUGGUGGCGAGUGGCGAACGGGUGAGUAAUAUAUCGGAGCGUGCCCAGUCGUGGGGGAUAACGCAGCGAAAGCUGUGCUAAUACCGCAUACGAUCUCUGGAUGAAAGCGGGGGACUCGUAAGAGCCUCGCGCGAUUGGAGCGGCCGAUAUCAGAUUAGCUAGUUGGUGGGGUAAAGGCCCACCAAGGCGACGAUCUGUAGCUGGUCUGAGAGGACGACCAGCCACACUGGAACUGAGACACGGUCCAGACUCCUACGGGAGGCAGCAGUGGGGAAUUUUGGACAAUGGGCGCGAGCCUGAUCCAGCAAUGCCGCGUGCAGGAUGAAGGCCUUCGGGUUGUAAACUGCUUUUGUACGGAACGAAAAGGUCUGCCUUAAUACGGUGGGCCCAUGACGGUACCGUAAGAAUAAGCACCGGCUAACUACGUGCCAGCAGCCGCGGUAAUACGUAGGGUGCGAGCGUUAAUCGGAAUUACUGGGCGUAAAGCGUGCGCAGGCGGUUAUAUAAGACAGAUGUGAAAUCCCCGGGCUCAACCUGGGACCUGCAUUUGUGAUUGUAUAGCUAGAGUACGGUAGAGGGGGAUGGAAUUCCGCGUGUAGCAGUGAAAUGCGUAGAUAUGCGGAGGAACACCGAUGGCGAAGGCAAUCCCCUGGACCUGUACUGACGCUCAUGCACGAG